ACCCUUAAAGACUUCUGCACCUUUAGGAUAUUCUGGUCCAACAUCGAGGUCACAAACCUUUUUUUCGAUUAGAGCUCUCAAAAAAGAUAAUGCUGUUAUCCCUACGGUAACUAUUUUCAUUAAUCAUAAUUUAUGGAUCAAGACAAGUAUGUUUAAGUUUUUUUAAGAAGCUUUAUUUGUUCCUUAUUCGCCCCAACCAAAAUUUUUAAUAAUUAUUUUCUAUACAAUAUAAUUAAGAUUUAUUAAUUUUUUUAAAGCUCGAUAGGGUCUUCUUGUCUUUUAAUUAGAUACAGACUUCUUCAUCUGUNGAUAAAAUUCUAUAAAAUUAAAAAGAGACAGCUUUGCUCUUGUGAGACCAUUCAUUCCAGUCCUCAAUUAUAGGACAAGUUAUUAUGCUACCUUAGCACAGUUAAGAUACUGCGGCCGUUAAACAAAAAUCACUGGGCAGGCCGGACUCUCUAUAUAAACUAAACAAAGAGCC
RNAcentral lists this ribosomal RNA (481 nucleotides) under Crepidula arenata. RNAcentral describes it as "partial 16S ribosomal RNA". Lineage: Eukaryota; Metazoa; Mollusca; Gastropoda; Littorinimorpha; Calyptraeidae. The record is from RNAcentral.